RNAcentral lists this small nuclear RNA (195 nucleotides) under Setaria italica (foxtail millet). RNAcentral's name for it is "snRNA U2". It matches the Rfam family "U2 spliceosomal RNA". From Rfam's summary of the family: U2 is a small nuclear RNA (snRNA) component of the spliceosome (involved in pre-mRNA splicing). Complementary binding between U2 snRNA (in an area lying towards the 5' end but 3' to hairpin I) and the branchpoint sequence (BPS) of the intron results the bulging out of an unpaired adenosine, on the BPS, which initiates a nucleophilic attack at the intronic 5' splice site, thus starting the first of two transesterification reactions that mediate splicing. Lineage: Eukaryota; Viridiplantae; Streptophyta; Magnoliopsida; Poales; Poaceae. The record is from RNAcentral.
AUACCUUUCUCGGCCUUUUGGCUAAGAUCAAGUGUAGUAUCUGUUCUUAUCAGUUUAAUAUACGAUAUGUGGGUCAUGUGUCCACUUCGAUAUUGAAUUUAUUUUUUGUGAGGAAGGGUUCACCGCAGUGGCUUGCCACUGGGGCCCUAAUGUCGCUCGGGCGUUGCACUGCAGCCUGAGCCGGGCGCACCUCAA